UAGGGAAUAUUGAUAAUCUGGGAAACCGGGAACCAGCAACGCCGCGUGCGCGAUGAAGGCCUUCGGGUUGUAAAGCGCUUUUUGAAGGGAUGAGGAAGGACAGUACCCUCAGAAUAAGCCUCGGCUAACUACGUGCCAGCAGCCGCGGUAAAACGUAGGAGGCGAGCGUUAUCCGGAUUUACUGGGCGUAAAGCGUGUGUAGGCGGUUUGAUAAGUUGGAUGUGAAAGCUCCCGGCUCAACUGGGAGAGGUCGUUCAAAACUAUCAGACUAGAGAGUGGUAGAGGGAGGUGGAAUUCCGCGUGUAGUGGUGAAAUGCGUAGAUAUGCGGAGGAACACCAGUGGCGAAAGCGGCCUCCUGGCCCAUUUCUGACGCUCAGACACGAAAGCUUAGGUAGCAAACGG
This 403-nucleotide ribosomal RNA is filed under the name uncultured bacterium. RNAcentral describes it as "bacterial SSU rRNA". It matches the Rfam family "Bacterial small subunit ribosomal RNA", at positions 355 to 775 of the family's 1533-position model. The record is from RNAcentral.